This 559-nucleotide ribosomal RNA is filed under the name uncultured bacterium. RNAcentral's name for it is "bacterial SSU rRNA". It matches the Rfam family "Bacterial small subunit ribosomal RNA", at positions 9 to 555 of the family's 1533-position model. The record is from RNAcentral.
GAGUUUGAUCCUGGCUCAGAACGAACGCUGGCGGCGUGCUUAACACAUGCAAGUCAGGGAGAAAGUCUCUUCGGGGAUGAUUAAACCGGCGCACGGGUGAGUAACACGUGAGUGACCUGCCUUUUAGACUGGAACAACUUACCGAAAGGUGAGCUAAUGCCGGAUGAGUUAUAUAAGUGCAUGUUUAUAUAGGAAAAGUUGGGGAGACCUGACGCUGAAAGAUGGACUCGCGUCCCAUUAGCUAGUUGGUAGGGUAAUGGCCUACCAAGGCGACGAUGGGUAGCCGGCCUGAGAGGGUGGCCGGCCACACUGGGACUGAGACACGGCCCAGACUCCUACGGGAGGCAGCAGUGGGGAAUUUUGCGCAAUGCUCGUAAGAGUGACGCAGCGACGCCGCGUGAAUGACGAAGGCCUUCGGGUCGUAAAGUUCUUUCGACAGGGAAGAAAAUGCCUAUAAGUAACUGUGUAUGUAUUGACGGUACCUGUAUAAGCAGCCCCGGCUAACUCCGUGCCAGCAGCCGCGGUAAUACGGAGGGGGCGAGCGUUGUUCGGAGUGACU